This 76-nucleotide transfer RNA is filed under the name Rickettsiales bacterium. RNAcentral's name for it is "tRNA-Ala". It matches the Rfam family "tRNA". Rfam says of the family: Transfer RNA (tRNA) molecules are approximately 80 nucleotides in length. Their secondary structure includes four short double-helical elements and three loops (D, anti-codon, and T loops). Further hydrogen bonds mediate the characteristic L-shaped molecular structure. tRNAs have two regions of fundamental functional importance: the anti-codon, which is responsible for specific mRNA codon recognition, and the 3' end, to which the tRNAs corresponding amino acid is attached (by aminoacyl-tRNA synthetases). tRNAs cope with the degeneracy of the genetic code in two manners: having more than one tRNA (with a specific anti-codon) for a particular amino acid; and 'wobble' base-pairing, i.e. permitting non-standard base-pairing at the 3rd anti-codon position. The record is from RNAcentral. Lineage: Bacteria; Pseudomonadati; Pseudomonadota; Alphaproteobacteria; Rickettsiales.
GGGGCCGUAGCUCAGUUGGUAGAGCGCUUCGUUCGCAAUGAAGAGGUCGGGAGUUCGAAUCUCCUCGGUUCCACCA